GAUGAACGCUGGCGGCGUGCCUAAUACAUGCAAGUCGAGCGAACAGACGAGGAGCUUGCUCCUCUGACGUUAGCGGCGGACGGGUGAGUAACACGUGGAUAACCUACCUAUAAGACUGGGAUAACUUCGGGAAACCGGAGCUAAUACCGGAUAAUAUAUUGAACCGCAUGGUUCAAUAGUGAAAGACGGUUUUGCUGUCACUUAUAGAUUGAUCCGCGCCGCAUUAGCUAGUUGGUAAGGUAACGGCUUACCAAGGCGACGAUGCGUAGCCGACCUGAGAGGGUGAUCGGCCACACUGGAACUGAGACACGGUCCAGACUCCUACGGGAGGCAGCAGUAGGGAAUCUUCCGCAAUGGGCGAAAGCCUGACGGAGCAACGCCGCGUGAGUGAUGAAGGUCUUCGGAUCGUAAAACUCUGUUAUUAGGGAAGAACAAAUGUGUAAGUAACUAUGCACGUCUUGACGGUACCUAAUCAGAAAGCCACGGCUAACUACGUG
RNAcentral lists this ribosomal RNA (497 nucleotides) under uncultured bacterium. Its description in RNAcentral is "partial 16S ribosomal RNA". It matches the Rfam family "Bacterial small subunit ribosomal RNA", at positions 28 to 507 of the family's 1533-position model. The record is from RNAcentral.